RNAcentral lists this transfer RNA (73 nucleotides) under Camelus bactrianus (Bactrian camel). It matches the Rfam family "tRNA". From Rfam's summary of the family: Transfer RNA (tRNA) molecules are approximately 80 nucleotides in length. The record is from Rfam by way of RNAcentral. RNAcentral also lists the same sequence under 2 other names. Lineage: Eukaryota; Metazoa; Chordata; Mammalia; Artiodactyla; Camelidae.
GGGGGUGUAGCUCAGUUGGUAGAGCAUGUGCUUAGCAUGCACGAGGUCCUGGGUUCAAUCCCCAGUAUCUCUA